CUAGCAAUCAACGAGACUCUGUGGGCGUAGGACCCUCCGAGCCAGGUGUGGGAUAUAAUCUCGUGGAGCGCCAUUUUUUAAGCCAGUCGGAAAAGCGCAGUAUUCGGGUGGGAGUGACCCGAUUUUCCAGGUGCCAUCCGUCACCCCUUUCUUUGACUCAGAAAGGGAACUCCCUGACCCCUUGCGCUUCCCAAGUGAGGCAAUGCCUCACCCUGCUUCGGCUCGCGCAUGGUGCGCGCACCCACUGACCUGCGCCCACUGUCUGGCACUCCCUAGUGAGAUGAACCCCGUACCUCAGAUGGAAAUGCAGAAAUCACCGUCUUCUGCGUCGCCCACGCUGGAAGCUGUAGACCGGAACUGUUCCUAUUCGGCCAUCUUGGCUCCUCCUCGCAGGCUUCUUCUAGGACAGUGAGGAGUAGGAAGCCAUUGGAGCAUGUGGUGAUGGUGGCAGCAGCAGGAACAACAGGGUGUGGGGUCAUACUUAGGCACAGGUACAGAAUCAAGCAAGAAUUGGCUAGGUGAUUCUUCUGCUACACCUGGCUAGGCUUGGCCGAAGCUCAGGGACAGCUCCUCUCAUAUGCCUGGUACCUUGUGGAUAUCUGGAAAACUGAAUUCAUCAAGGCCCCUUUCCCUCAGUGCUGUUGUCUCUCACCUGGUUUCUCUAGUUCUUGUAUUGUUUUGCUUAUUGGUGUUUAAUUAAAAACCAAACAACUUUUCCUAUUAACUUGAUGCUACUUAUUAAUUGAAAUGAGGAGACUGACUCUGGAUAUUGGGAAAAUUUAUGGGCACAUACAGAGGAAAAGACAUGUGGGGACAUAAUGAGAGGACAGCCAUCUGCAAGCCAAGAAGAGAAUCCUCACCAGAAACCAACUUGACUGGAAUCUUGAUCUUGAACUUCUUGCUUCCAGAAUUAUGAGAAAAUAAAUUGUUGUUUAACCCACACAGUCUAUUGUACUUAGUUGUAGCAGUCUGAGAAGACUAAUACAUUGAUAAACUGGUCAGUUACAACAAUGAAUAUAUUAUUUAUACAUUAUAUAAAUGAUUAUAGUUUCUGUAUUAGCUUAGAUUUUGCAAAUUUGUCAAUAGCUUUGUCCAAGUUGAUUUUCUUUAUAUAUUCCUAUUUCAUAGACUAUAUUAGCUAGAUUUGUCAAUCUAUCUUACUCAUAAUGACUGAAGAACACUUUUAAAUUCAAUUUAAAAGGUUUUUGUCACAUAAAGCAACAAAUAUAAAACUAGAAAAAAUAUAAAUAUGAAUAUAAAUUUGAAGGAAAUUAAUAAAAAUCGUAUUGUACCAUAUAUUCCAGAAAUUUUAAACACUGAUGAAAACUUCAAGUGGUACCAAGGAAUGAGAGAAUUGAAGUAAUUCAAGUGUUAUAUUUCAUCUUUUCUAUCACUAGGUUGUCAUCAAUUAUUUCAAAUCUGUUUUUUUUUUUAUUGUAAUUAAACUUCUAAGUUCAGGGACACAUGUGAAGGUUUGUUAUAUGGGUAGACUUGUGUCAUAGGGUUUUGUUGUACAGAUUACUUCAUGAAUCCGUUAUUAAGUGCAGUACCCAUUAGUUAUUUUUUCUGAUCCUCUCCUUCCUUGCACCCUCCACCCUCUGAUAAGACCAACUGUCUGUUGUUCCCUCUAUGUGUCCAUAUGUACUCAUCAUUCAGCACCCACUUGUGAGAACAUACAAUAUUUGUUUUUCUGUUCCUGAAUUAGUUUGCUAAGGAUAAUGGCCUCCAGCUGCAUGAUGCUCCUGCAAGGGGCAUGAUCUUAUUCUUUCUUGUGGCUGCAUAGUAUUCCACGGUGUAUAUGUACCACAUUUUCUUUAUUCAAUCUGUCAUUGAUGGGAAUUUAGGUUGAUUCCAUGUCUUUGCUAUUGAGAAUAGUGCUGCAAUGAACAUAUGCAUGCAUGUGUCUUUAUGACAGAAUGAUUUAUAUUCCUUUAGGUAUAUCCCCAGUAUUGGGAUUCUGGGGUCUAAUGAUAUUUCCAUUUUUAGGUCUUUGAGGAAUUGCCACACUGUUUUCCACAGUGAUUGAACUAAUUUACAACCUUCAAAACAGUGCAUAGGCAUUCCUUUUUCUCUGCUACCUUGCUAGCACUUAUUUAUUUAUUUUUGACUUUUUAAUAAUAGCUAUUCUGACUGGUGUGAGAAUCUUCUGCUUAACUCAGGAAUGUGUAGCUCCACGAGAGUAGCUCCCCAGCACCCAAAGAGAGCUUGAAGGAUUCAAAACCGUUAUGAACUUCCUCUUAAAAUGAACAUAUGUAGUUAUGUCUACAUGCAUCAGGGACUGACUGGAUGACUGAGGAUUCUUUGAAUUAACUUUUAUGAAGAUUACAACAUUUAUUAAAGAACAAGUAAUUCAAAUGUGCUAAUUUGUAACUUAAAUAAUAUGUUAUUGAAAAUCAAUAGUAAUCUGUGCAAUUAUUUAGAACUUAGACUAGUAGAAGCCUUUAAAGACAGGACUGUUUAUCAGUGAUGUUGCUUAGAAUUACUGGCAUACUUUGAUAAUAAAAAAGAGAUUAUUUUUAAGUUAGUUUUAUCAUUGCUUUUAAAUGCUCCACAAGCAAUGCACCUCCUUAUCCUAUUGCUCUGCCCUAGGUAAGUCCCUGGAAAUUAUAAUAGUAGUUAAUAUUUGUUGAGUAAUUCAGAGUUAAUGCAUGUUUAAUCAUUGUCAUGAAUAAAUCAGCUGAAUGAGUAGGAAUAUCCCAAAUGCCUUUCCAAUAUGUUUUUUGGUGGCUUUUGCCCAAGGUUUUUUUUUUUUUUCUCUUGGUUUAGAAGACUUAGGGCUGACUAUUCAAUACCAUUGAAAAUAUUAGAUCAAAGCAAAAAGAACAAAGCCAGAGGCAUCACAUUACCUGGCUUCAAACUAUACUACAAAGCUACAGUAAUCAAAACAGCAUGGUACUGGUGCAAAAACAGACAUACAGAAAAUAGAACAGAAUAGAUAACCCAGAAAUAAAGCCACACACUUACAGCCAUUUUAUCUUUGACUAAGUUGACAAAAAUAAGCAAUGGAGAAAGUACUCCCUAUUCAAUAAAUGGUGUUGGGAUAACUGGCUAACCAUAUGCAGAAUAAAGAGACUGAACACCUACCUUUUACCAUAUACAAAAAUUAAUUCAAAAUGGAUUAAAAUUUUAAAUGUAACACCUCAAACUAUAAGACUUUUAGGAGAAAACCUAGGAAACACCAUUCUGGACAUAGACCUUGGGAAAGAAUUUAGGGCAAAGUCCUAAAAAGUAAUUGCAACAAAAACAAAAAUUGACACAUGGAACCUAAUUAAACCAAAGAGCUUCUGCACAGCAAAAGAAACUAACAACAGAGUAAAAAGACAACCUACAGAAUGGGUAAAAUAUUCACAAACUUUGCAUCUGACAAAGGUCUAAUUGGGAAAAUCUAUAAGGAAGUUAAGCAAUUGAAAAAGCAAAAAUCAAAUUACCUCAUUAAAAAGUAGCCGAAGAACAUGAACAGACAGUUCUCAAAAGAAGACAUACAAGCAGCCAACAAGCAUAUAAAAAAUGCUCAACAUCAGUAAUUAUCAGAGAAUGCAAAUCAAAACCACAAUAAGAUACCAUCUCACACCAUUCAGAAUGGCUAUUAACAAAAAGUCAGAAAACAGCCUGCUGGUGAGGCUGUGGAGAAAAGGGAAUGUGUAUACACUGUUGGUGGAAAAGUAAAUUAGUUCAGUCACUGUGGAAAGCAGUCUGGAGAUUUCUCAAAAAAUUUAAAACAGAAGUAACUUUUGUCCCAACAAUCUCAUUACUGGGUAUAUAUCCAAAAGAAAAUAAAUCUUUCUACCAAAAAGACACACAUACUCACAUGUUCAUUGAAGCACUAUUCACAAUAUCAAAAACAUGGAAUCAACCUAGGUGCCCAUCAAUGGUAGAUUGGAUAAAGAAAAUAUAGUACAUGUACACUAAGGAACACUACACAGCCAUAAAAGGAAUAAAGUCAUGUUCUUUGCAGCAACUUGGAUGCAGUUGGAGACCAUAAUCCUAAGUGAAUUAAUGCAGGGACAGAAAACCAACUACUGCACAUUCUUGCCUAUAAGUGGGAGCUAAAUGUGGGGUACUCAUGGACAUAAAGAUGGCAACAAAUGAGAGUGGGGACUACUGGAAGGGAGGUUUUCCCCUGGAGGGUGGCAAGAGGUGAAAAACUAACUGUUGAGCACUAUGCUGACUUCCUGGGUGAUGGGUUCAAUCAUACCCCAAACUUCAGCAUCACAUAAUAUACCCAGGUAACGAACUUGCACAUAUACCCACCCUGAAUCUAAAAUAAAAGUUGAAAUUAUAAACUAACAUAAAAUAUAAAAUAAGUAGAUCAACAAGUUGAGUUGGGAUUGUAUGUGAUGGAAGGGAAGAACACAUGGGGUAAAGGCAAGUCUUUCAGGCUUAUUUCCUAUUUCUUUGAGCAUGGGUACUUGCAGCUCCAUUCCACUCUCUUCAUAAUUGUUUCCUCCACUAUCGAAUGACAACAUCAAAAUAUAUAAUAUUGGUAAAAGUAAUCAUAUUGUUUUCCUAUAUUCUUUACAUUAGUAUUAUGGAAAUACACUUGUAGUAUACUUUUUGUUUAUUUACAAUAAUCAUUUGGGAGAAUUUGUCUGCUGUGAAAUAGAAUAAUAAAAAUUGUUUUACUCUUAGUACAGAUGCUAGAGGAAAUUCUUUCACUUU
RNAcentral lists this long non-coding RNA (4659 nucleotides) under Homo sapiens (human). RNAcentral describes it as "HSALNT0075627". Lineage: Eukaryota; Metazoa; Chordata; Mammalia; Primates; Hominidae. The record is from RNAcentral.